Lethenteron reissneri (Far Eastern brook lamprey) is the source of this 2090-nucleotide long non-coding RNA. RefSeq lists it as uncharacterized. Lineage: Eukaryota; Metazoa; Chordata; Hyperoartia; Petromyzontiformes; Petromyzontidae. The record is from RefSeq and is a predicted model, not a curated record.
CCCACAAACUUUGCUUCUGUGAUCAGGACAGUGAUAUUUUGAAAUUUACCUAUUUCCCAGAACAUUCCAGAUAGAUUCAGUGCUGAGUAAACUUGGAGUAACUUCUAGAACAUUCUAGAACUUUCCAGUAAUAUAAAUAGUAGCAUAAAUACAAGGGCCUUCAGCCCACCAGUUCAGUUUAGUUCCAGCUGCCUAAGUGGAUACAUAUCUGCAUUUUUCUGAGAUGGCAUCAAGAGGCUGCAAGCAUCCGGCAGACACAUUUUGCUAUGUCUGCGGCCAAUUUAUCAAGACAAGAGCGAAAAAGUACUCUGUGGAAGCAUCUGCUAAGAUGUGUGAGGCCUACAAGGCAUAUUUCGGCAUGCCUGUUGGGGAUCAAGACAAACCCUGGGCACCUCAUUUCACCUGCGAGCAAUGCAAAAAAAACUCUGGAAGGUAAGAUGGACAAUUGUUGCUCGGAAUUUUAUGUUAUAAACUUUGUUUUAAAAAAAUUGUAAAAGUUUUUUUUUCAUUUUAAAUGUUUUACAAUUGUCAAUGUUAUUGAAAAGAUAUAUCAUAGAUGAAAAAUAUUGCAAUAAUCUCUUACACAUUAGUCAUGGGGGAAAUAAAUGUAAUUUUGUAGGAUGGUACAGAGGGGAAAAGAGAGCCAUGAAGUUGGUUAUCCCAAGAAUUUGGCGGGAACCCACUGACCACUCAAGCAACUGCUACUUCUGCAUGGUGGACCUUUCCAAACGUCGGACUGGCAAUAAUACACCUGCUAUCACGUAUCCGGACCUUCUUUCAUCUAUCGCCCCGGUGCCACACUGCCAUGAGCUCCCCGUACACACUCCUCUGGAGAGAGAGCAGCCGUCUUUAGAGACAGCAAGUCAGAGAGCGAGGAAGACGUUGUAGAUCCAGAUGACAAUUUCAGAGGUGGAGCUGAGGAGAGAAACCCAUACGACCCCAACCAAAAGAACCUCAACGACUUUAUCAGAGAUCUUGAUCUCACCAAGUCCAAUUCUGAGCUUUUGACGUCUAGGCUCAAGCAGUGGAACUUGUUUGAUAAAAGUAUGCAAGUCGCAGAUCAGAGGAAAGCGUCACCAACCUUUUUGCAGCUUAUUCACCCGUCAAGAUGGGCUCUGCUUCUGCCAGAAUGUGACCAGUCUGUUCGAGGAAAUCGGAAUCGCCUGUAACCAAAAUGAGUGGCGCCUCUUCGUUGACAGCUCAUCCAGGAGUCUCAAAGCCAUGCUGCUCCAUAAUGAUUAUAGGGCGCGAAUACGGGGAUCACGCGGACAUAAUCACAGCUCCGCGGACAGCUGUUCGAGGCAACAGGCGGACGUCGCCUUUGAAGUGAAAGACUCCAGGUGAUGAUGGCUGAUGACAAACGGGCACGGUGACGGCUGUUGCGAGCUGAGGGCGGGAACCGAACGAAUGCAAAAAGGCAGCGGUGGUGGAGGCGGUGGGGAAUUGGGUCCCCAGGGCUGGGGGCCAUGCAGCGAGUUUGUCUCGUGAGUCAACAUUCGGCGAGGAGCAGCAUCAGGUUGCCCCGACCGGGGACAUCUCCACCCGCUCACGUGGAAGAGCGAAAACGUGCGUGGGUGGGUGGGUGCGUGGGUGGACAGGCGAGUAGGAGGUGAGAACUCAAGAGACCAGAAUGAGUCUCAUUUGCAAGAGUGACCUGGGUCAUCAAAAUGACAAAAGAAAAACAAAUAACAGCACAAGCAAUGAAGGAAAUGCGAAUGCAUCGGGCAGCACGUACUGUAGGUCGCGAGUUAUCGCCCUCUACGGCAGUCUGCUGUUCUCAAAUCAUCUCGCUGGGCUGUGCGAUCGGCCCCACGAUCAGUCCGGCGUGAUCAUUCUAACGUUGAUCCUUGUUGAGUGCACUACUUUGCGUGCUACUGUUGAACUAAUGUUGACUCGCAUUGUGUUUCUGUGCCGUUUUCUGUGGUUCCUGGAUUUAUUUCCAACCCCCAUGUAUGCUUUGGUACAUAACCUUUCUCGAGAGUUAUGCGUAUGCUCUCUCACAGCAGGUUUCCACUUUUCCACCUAUUGCUUUACUUAUGGCUGUCUCUCAAUAACCUUGGUUUAUCCGGUAAAUGACCAUUAAAAUCCUA